This 416-nucleotide ribosomal RNA is filed under the name uncultured eukaryote. Its description in RNAcentral is "SSU rRNA". It matches the Rfam family "Eukaryotic small subunit ribosomal RNA", at positions 592 to 1017 of the family's 1831-position model. The record is from RNAcentral.
CAAUAGCGUAUAUUUAAGUUGUUGCAGUUAAAAGCUCGUAGUUGGAUUUGGGUGCGGCAGGCCGGUCCGCCGUUUCGGUGUGCACUGGCAGGCGGCAUCUUUCUGUCGAGGACGCGCUCCUGGUCUUAAUCGAUCGGGACGCGGAGUCGGCGCAGUUACUUUGAAAAAUUAGAGUGUUCAAAGCGGGCCUACGCUUGAAUAUAUUAGCAUGGAAUAACACCAUAGGACUCCUGUCCUAUUUCGUUGGUCUCGGGACGGGAGUAAUGAUUAAGAGGAACAGUUGGGGCGAUUCGUAUUUCAUUGUCAGAGGUGAAAUUCUUGGAUUUAUGAAAGACGAACUUCUGCGAAAGCAUUUGCCAAGGAUGUUUUCAUUAAUCAAGAACGAAAGUUGGGGCGUCGAAGAUGAUCAGAUACCG